This 468-nucleotide ribosomal RNA is filed under the name uncultured bacterium. Its description in RNAcentral is "partial 16S ribosomal RNA". It matches the Rfam family "Bacterial small subunit ribosomal RNA", at positions 28 to 507 of the family's 1533-position model. The record is from RNAcentral.
GACGAACGCUGGCGGCGUGCUUAACACAUGCAAGUCGAACGGAAAGGCCCUGCUUUUGUGGGGUGCUCGAGUGGCGAACGGGUGAGUAACACGUGAGUAACCUGCCCUUGACUUUGGGAUAACUUCAGGAAACUGGGGCUAAUACCGGGUAGGAGCUCCUGCUGCAUGGUGGGGGUUGGAAAGUUUCGGCGGUUGGGGAUGGACUCGCGGCUUAUCAGCUUGUUGGUGGGGUAGUGGCUUACCAAGGCUUUGACGGGUAGCCGGCCUGAGAGGGUGACCGGCCACAUUGGGACUGAGAUACGGCCCAGACUCCUACGGGAGGCAGCGGUGGGGAGUAUUGCACAAUGGGCGGAAGCCUGAUGCAGCAACGCCGCGUGCGGGAUGACGGCCUUCGGGUUGUAAACCGCUUUCGCCUGUGACGAAGCGUGAGUGACGGUAAUGGGUAAAGAAGCACCGGCUAACUACGUG